This 233-nucleotide ribosomal RNA is filed under the name uncultured Lactobacillus sp. RNAcentral describes it as "partial 16S ribosomal RNA". It matches the Rfam family "Bacterial small subunit ribosomal RNA", at positions 129 to 354 of the family's 1533-position model. Lineage: Bacteria; Bacillati; Bacillota; Bacilli; Lactobacillales; Lactobacillaceae. The record is from RNAcentral.
CCCAAGAGAUCGGGAUAACACCUGGAAACAGAUGCUAAUACCGGAUAACAACAGAUGAUGCCUAUCAACUGUUUAAAAGAUGGUUCUGCUAUCACUCUUGGAUGGACCUGCGGUGCAUUAGCUAGUUGGUAGGGUAACGGCCUACCAAGGCGAUGAUGCAUAGCCGAGUUGAGAGACUGAUCGGCCACAUUGGAACUGAGACACGGUCCAUACUCCUACGGGAGGCAGCAGGC